This 507-nucleotide ribosomal RNA is filed under the name Streptomyces sp. 310D10. Its description in RNAcentral is "bacterial SSU rRNA". It matches the Rfam family "Bacterial small subunit ribosomal RNA", at positions 93 to 614 of the family's 1533-position model. Lineage: Bacteria; Bacillati; Actinomycetota; Actinomycetes; Kitasatosporales; Streptomycetaceae. The record is from RNAcentral.
UAGUGGCGAACGGGUGAGUAACACGUGGGCAAUCUGCCCUUCACUCUGGGACAAGCCCUGGAAACGGGGUCUAAUACCGGAUAAUACCUGCCUGGGCAUCUGGGUGGGUUGAAAGCUCCGGCGGUGAAGGAUGAGCCCGCGGCCUAUCAGCUUGUUGGUGAGGUAGUGGCUCACCAAGGCGACGACGGGUAGCCGGCCUGAGAGGGCGACCGGCCACACUGGGACUGAGACACGGCCCAGACUCCUACGGGAGGCAGCAGUGGGGAAUAUUGCACAAUGGGCGAAAGCCUGAUGCAGCGACGCCGCGUGAGGGAUGACGGCCUUCGGGUUGUAAACCUCUUUCAGCAGGGAAGAAGCGAGAGUGACGGUACCUGCAGAAGAAGCGCCGGCUAACUACGUGCCAGCAGCCGCGGUAAUACGUAGGGCGCAAGCGUUGUCCGGAAUUAUUGGGCGUAAAGAGCUCGUAGGCGGCUUGUCACGUCGGGUGUGAAAGCCCGGGGCUUAACC